RNAcentral lists this ribosomal RNA (253 nucleotides) under uncultured bacterium. RNAcentral's name for it is "partial 16S ribosomal RNA". It matches the Rfam family "Bacterial small subunit ribosomal RNA", at positions 524 to 776 of the family's 1533-position model. The record is from RNAcentral.
GACGUAGGAGGCGAGCGUUGUCCGGAUUCAUUGGGCGUAAAGAGCGCGCAGGCGGCUUGGUAAGUCGGAUGUGAAAUCCCGAGGCUCAACCUCGGGUCUGCAUCCGAUACUGCCCGGCUAGAGGUAGGUAGGGGAGAUCGGAAUUCCAGGUGUAGCGGUGAAAUGCGUAGAUAUCUGGAGGAACACCGGUGGCGAAGGCGGCAUCCUGGACCAACACUGACACUGAGGAGCGAAAGCCAGGGGAGCAAACGGG